This 350-nucleotide unclassified non-coding RNA is filed under the name soil metagenome. RNAcentral describes it as "partial contains 5.8S ribosomal RNA, internal transcribed spacer 2, and large subunit ribosomal RNA". The stretch from base 1 to 120 matches the Rfam family "5.8S ribosomal RNA", at positions 35 to 154 of the family's 154-position model. The record is from RNAcentral.
GAUGAAGAACGCAGCAAAAUGCGAUAAGUAAUGUGAAUUGCAGAAUUCAGUGAAUCAUCGAAUCUUUGAACGCACAUUGCGCCCGCCAGUAUUCUGGCGGGCAUGCCUGUCCGAGCGUCAUUUCAACCCUCGAACCCCUCCGGGGGGUCGGCGUUGGGGAUCGGCCCUUUACGGGGCCGGCCCCGAAAUACAGUGGCGGUCUCGCCGCAGCCUCUCCUGCGCAGUAGUUUGCACACUCGCAUCGGGAGCGCGGCGCGUCCACAGCCGUUAAACACCCCAAACUUCUGAAAUGUUGACCUCGGAUCAGGUAGGAAUACCCGCUGAACUUAAGCAUAUCAAUAAGCGGAGGA